Molecule: ribosomal RNA, 741 nt
Filed under: uncultured marine eukaryote
Lineage: Eukaryota
Description: SSU rRNA
Rfam family: Eukaryotic small subunit ribosomal RNA
Source: RNAcentral
AAAAUUGCCCAAUCUUGACACAGGGAGGUAGUGACAAGAAAUAACAAUACAGGGCAUGCAUGUCCUGUAAUUGGAAUGAGUACAUUUUAGACCUUUGUAUGAGUAUCAAUUGGAGGGCAAGUCUGGUGCCAGCAGCCGCGGUAAUUCCAGCUCCAAUGGCAUAUAUUAAAAUUGUUGCGGUUAAAAAGCUCGUAGUUGGAUCUCUGUCAAGGGUGGUCGGUCUGCCUCCUGGGCAUGUACCUGGUUCAGCCUGGGCAUAUCUCUGGGACGUGUGUUUGCACUUGACUGUGUGGCAUGGUGUCCAGAGCUUUUACUUUGAGGAAAUUAGAAUGCUUCAAACAGGUAUAGGCCUUGAAUACGUUAGCAUGGAAUAUUAUUGCAUAGCAUUGUUUUUACUUUGUUGGUUUUUUGAGUGAUGUAAUGGUUAAUAGGGAUAGCUGGGGGCAUUUGUAUUUAAUUGUCAGAGGUGAAAUUCUUGGAUCUGUUAAAGACAGACUGCUGCGAAAGCUUUUGCCAAAAAUGUUUUCAUUGAUCAAGAACGAAAGUUAGGGGAUCGAAGACGAUCAGAUACCGUCCUAGUCUUAACCAUAAACCAUGCCAACUCGAGAUUGAAUGUUGUUAUCACCAUGACAUGUUCAGCAUCUCAUGAGAAAUCAAAGUCUUUGGGUUCCGGGGGGAGUAUGGUCGCAAGGCUGAAACUUAAAGGAAUUGACGGAAGGGCACCACCAGGAGUGGAGCCUG